RNAcentral lists this ribosomal RNA (200 nucleotides) under Pleosporales sp. RNAcentral's name for it is "partial large subunit ribosomal RNA". Lineage: Eukaryota; Fungi; Ascomycota; Dothideomycetes; Pleosporales. The record is from RNAcentral.
CCAGACUUGGGCUUGGUUAAUCAUCUGGGGUUCUCCCCAGUGCACUUUUCCAGUCCAGGCCAGCAUCAGUUUUCCCCGGGGGAUAAAGGUCUCUGUCAUGUACCUCUCUUCGGGGAGAACUUAUAGGGGAGACGACAUGCAACCAGCCUGGACUGAGGUCCGCGCAUCUGCUAGGAUGCUGGCGUAAUGGCUGUAAGCGG